CGCGGUUUGGUAACACUGAUUCGGAGGCAAAUGUUCGUACCAUUUGAAAAGUGAAGUUUGGACUGACUCCAGCUUAUUAAGGCCAGGUGUUUCAUUAAGACAAGAACUCACCUGAGUCAGGAUCGGACCAGAAGUACAGUCCCGGACAAAUGUUCAUGAUGCACUCAAGGUGGAAGGUGCAAAGUCUACCCAACCCUUACUGGACGGCAGGUCGCUAUUGGUGAUGCCACUCAUGAAAAAACAAAGGUUUCCAGAUCGCUAAAAAAUUUAAAGGUACAGUAUGACAAAAUAUAUCCAAUUACAAUUAUUUUAUUUUUAAUCAAUACAAUUUUUUAAAAAUUACAAAAUAUUUAAAAUAGACUGUAGACAAACAUAGUAGAUAAUAAAACGAAAAUAGACACUUGGUAUUCUGCAUUGCAAAAGAAAAUUAAAUAUAUUUGUUGAACGGUUGUACUGUAGUGAUAGUUUAGUGUAGCCAACCAAGUAAUAAAUUUUAAUUGUUGCUUCUACACUGCAGCAACUAAAAAAUAUAUAUUUAGCAUGUCUUUCAAAAUGAAAGAAGGAAGAUUCGUGUUAUUUAGAAGUGCAAAAUUGGCCAAUCAUGGGCCCAGAGGUGCCAAAUAACUUAGCAAACUAAGUGCCAAAAGAACAGUGUCAUUUCUAAGUUUUUAACACGAUGCCUCCGAUUUGAUGAUCCAAAUACACGGGUGGAGAGGGUGAAAACAGACAGGUUUGAUCUAGUGUGGGCUGUGUGGGACAAGUUCAUGGAGCAUUGCAAGGACAAUUAUGUGCCAGGAAAGAAUGUAAUGGUGGAUGAGCAGUCGUUGACAUUUCGCGGAAGAUGUUCAUUUAGAAUGUACAUAGCAAAUGCC
Molecule: long non-coding RNA, 872 nt
Organism: Homarus americanus (American lobster)
Lineage: Eukaryota; Metazoa; Arthropoda; Malacostraca; Decapoda; Nephropidae
Exons: 2
Source: RefSeq, a predicted model, not a curated record